Long non-coding RNA from Setaria italica (foxtail millet), 524 nucleotides. RefSeq lists it as uncharacterized. NCBI's taxonomy places the organism in Eukaryota, Viridiplantae, Streptophyta, Magnoliopsida, Poales, Poaceae. The record is from RefSeq and is a predicted model, not a curated record. The transcript is spliced from 3 exons.
CGGGCGUUAUCGCGACGCGCGCUGAGUCACAAGCCAAGUCAGAGAAGGUUAGGGUUUACCGGUCGAGACUUCCUCCUCCCCGCCGCCGCCGCCGCCGCCGCCAUGGGACACUCCAACGUCUGGAACUCGCACCCCAAGAACUACGGCCCCGGAUCCAGGGUUUGCCGCGUGUGCGCCAACCCCCACGGCCUGAUCCGGAAGUACGGGCUCAUGUGCUGCAGGCAGUGCUUCCGCAGCAACGCCAAGGACAUCGGCUUCAUCAAGUACCGCUGAAAACUUGAGGAGGUCCAAAGCAUCACGAGAAUGGGAGCACGGAUGAGGAGCAUCUUCUUUGAUCCGUCUUUUGCUUAGUACUAUCAUAAUCAUACCAUGUACUGAAUUAUUUGGGUUUAAAAUGGACCAAGUCGUUGUAUUCUAGCUGGCAGUCUACCGCGUGCUAGUUGAGAAUGUAGAACAGCAAUGAUCAGACUAAUAUCAGUGUUAUUGUGCCGCAUUACCGUUGCUAUCGUGCCUGCAUUGGAGUU